AAUCUGAGACAGUAGGCUCUGAGAGUCUGAGCCAUGAAACUGAAGACUUCUGAUCUCUGAAGUCCCUGAACUGUAAAGACCCUGUUGAAUAUGUGAUGUCGAUUUUUCAGAUCUGUUGUUGAAUUAGAAUCUGUCCCAAAUUAUCUAUAGCUAAUCAGCCAAAUGCCCAAAUCAUAAAUUCAUUCAAUUGGCCUUCCUCAGCAAUCUUCUUGUCUUCUCUGUGUGUGAAAAAAGAGUGCUACUCAGUAUACUAUACCGGUACUCUUAUCGACAAAACGACGUACACACAUCCGAAAGACGACGUCAGCCGAUGGCCCCCACUUCGCCGCGAAACAGGCAUGAACGUUCAUGAACCAACCCCACGACAUUUAUUCCGCCAAUAGAGACAUCCGCCAUCACUCAACGUUCGCAGGUACAAUAGCCGCAAGGCUUAAGAGGUGGAGGGAGGAAAAAAAUUGUAUAAAAGGAG
This is a long non-coding RNA of Daphnia pulex (common water flea), 469 nucleotides long. RefSeq lists it as uncharacterized. The record is from RefSeq and is a predicted model, not a curated record. Lineage: Eukaryota; Metazoa; Arthropoda; Branchiopoda; Diplostraca; Daphniidae. The transcript has 3 exons.